RNAcentral lists this transfer RNA (61 nucleotides) under Hemiselmis andersenii. The record is from RNAcentral. Lineage: Eukaryota; Cryptophyceae; Cryptomonadales; Hemiselmidaceae.
UUUUCGGCAUUAGCUAUUCCUGAAAUAUCAAAUGAAACUGAAGAGCUUCUUGGAGAUGUUU